Jaculus jaculus (lesser Egyptian jerboa) is the source of this 106-nucleotide small nuclear RNA. The record is from RefSeq and is a predicted model, not a curated record. Lineage: Eukaryota; Metazoa; Chordata; Mammalia; Rodentia; Dipodidae.
GUGUUCACUUAGGCAGCACAUAUACUAGAAAACUGGUAAGAUCCAGAGAUUAGCAUGGCCCUUAUGCAAGGAUGACACACAAAUUCAUGAAGUGUUAUAUAUAUUC